UGGGGAAUCUUAGACAAUGGGGGCAACCCUGAUCUAGCCAUGCCGCGUGAGUGAUGAAGGCCUUAGGGUUGUAAAGCUCUUUCAGCUGGGAAGAUAAUGACGGUACCAGCAGAAGAAGCCCCGGCUAACUCCGUGCCAGCAGCCGCGGUAAUACGGAGGGGGCUAGCGUUGUUCGGAAUUACUGGGCGUAAAGCGCACGUAGGCGGACCAGCAAGUUAGGGGUGAAAUCCCGGGGCUCAACCCCGGAACUGCCCUUAAAACUGUUGAUCUGGAGUUCGAGAGAGGUGAGUGGAAUUCCGAGUGUAGAGGUGAAAUUCGUAGAUAUUCGGAGGAACACCAGUGGCGAAGGCGGCUCACUGGCUCGAUACUGACGCUGAGGUGCGAAAGCGUGGGGAGCAAACA
RNAcentral lists this ribosomal RNA (402 nucleotides) under uncultured prokaryote. RNAcentral's name for it is "bacterial SSU rRNA". It matches the Rfam family "Bacterial small subunit ribosomal RNA", at positions 355 to 774 of the family's 1533-position model. The record is from RNAcentral.